ACAGGGAACUCCUGGAAGAUUUUACAAGAAAGUAAUAUUACUCAAUUCCAUCUUUAAAAAAGUUAAUGCCAGCAGUAAAGGGAAUGAUAAAAAAGAACAAAAACUUUGUGGUCAGAGGAACAAGUUGGGAAGUUAUUUCAAUAAUCCAGAUGAAAAUUUCCAUCAUAGUCUCACUGUGGGAGAACAGAUGUCUGCAGUUUGAGUAACCAUCUGGAGACACAGGAUGGGAGCCAUCCCUGAGCACGGCAGAGGGAGAAGAUCCGAGGUUGCUUCACUAUCAUCUUCGCACACAGGGCCAAGCCGGGAUUUAACUGCACAAAAGCAAAAUGGUGUCUCGUGGAGUUCUGCAUAUACAUAGAAUUAAAAUAUAUUACCACAGAAUCACAAAAGCUUAAAUGGUCUAUGAUCCUCGCUUGUCUGGCAUGAGGUUUCAAACUCCAGGGUUCAACGGAUCCUCCUGACUCAGCCUCCCAAGUAGCUGGGACUACAUGCGUACCUCCUACAUCCACUCCCAGAAAGGGUCUUUAUAUGUUUAUUGUCAACACAAUAAAGGUCACUGUUCUUUGAAA
Chinchilla lanigera (long-tailed chinchilla) is the source of this 569-nucleotide long non-coding RNA. RefSeq lists it as uncharacterized. NCBI's taxonomy places the organism in Eukaryota, Metazoa, Chordata, Mammalia, Rodentia, Chinchillidae. The transcript is spliced from 3 exons. The record is from RefSeq and is a predicted model, not a curated record.